Schistocephalus solidus is the source of this 83-nucleotide non-coding RNA. Lineage: Eukaryota; Metazoa; Platyhelminthes; Cestoda; Diphyllobothriidea; Diphyllobothriidae. The record is from Rfam.
GGCCUCAUAGCUCAGUUGGCUAGAGCGUUGGCUAAACUAAAGCCUUCAACUUGCUAGUGUGGGUUCGAAUCCCACCGAGGCCA